RNAcentral lists this unclassified non-coding RNA (263 nucleotides) under plant metagenome. RNAcentral describes it as "partial contains small subunit ribosomal RNA, internal transcribed spacer 1, and 5.8S ribosomal RNA". The record is from RNAcentral.
UUUCCGUAGGUGAACCUGCGGAAGGAUCAUUAUUGUAUAACCGAGGUGCGAGGGCUGUCGCUGACCCGAAAGGUCGUGGACGCCCGAGUGUCUUCACACACAUCCAUCUCACCCCUAUGUGCACCACCGCGUGGGUCCCCCUUUGGCUUGUUCGGAGGGGGGCUUACGUUUUCACACAAACUUUGUAUGCAGUGUAGAAUGUAUUUUUUGUUUUUGCGAUCACGCAAUCAAUACAACUUUCAACAACGGAUCUCUUGGCUCUC